GCCUCAUACAUGCUAAGCCAGCACUGUACCACUAAGCUACAACCCCAGCCCCAGAUAUGUCUUUAAAUCAGGAGAAAUAGAGAGUAGCAAAGACAGAUACAGUGACAAAAGCUUGGUGAAGGCAAAAUGUCCCAAUGUAAACAGUGGGGGGAGAGAAUGCAGUAGAAAUAUAGAGAAAAAAAUAAGCAGAAAGAAAAGAACAUAAUUGGCCAAAUUAUAUUGCUGUAUUGUGUGUAUGUUGUGUAUAUAUGAAUGUGAAACAACAAAUUCCAUCAUUUGUACAAGUAUACUGCACCAAUAAAAAAAGCUGCUAUAAUCCUAGUAGCUCAGGAGGCUGAGGCAGAAAGAUGGUGAGUUCAAAGUCAGCCUCAGAAAAAGUGAGGUGCUAAGCAACUCAGUGAGACCCUGUCUCUAAAUAAAAUACAAAAUAAGGCUGGGGAUGUGGCUCAGUGGUCGAGAGCCCCUGAGUAGUUGGGGAAAUCCAACUGGUACAGGGUGGGAGGUAGGAGAAAAGAACAAGAUAAAACAACAACAACAAAGGUCCUACAAAAGGAGGUGAAGAAAAAGAAGGCAAGUAGAAGCCAGAGAAUGUGAGAAACAUGGAGGGGCUUAGGAUUUCAGGCCUAGGAGCAGGCCCGAUAAGUACCCGAGUCUGACUUCUAGAUGACUAGUCUGACUUCUCUUGGUGACUUCUCCUGUCUCCCAGCCCCAACCCCAACCCCAGGGACACAGGACUUACUUGACCCUGAGUCAAGGGUCCCCAGCUUCUUUCAUCCCCAUGAUAGAUGAGAUAGUUGUCAUAGAUGGGAUUACUGCUACAAGAUUGA
This 827-nucleotide long non-coding RNA is filed under the name Marmota monax (woodchuck). Lineage: Eukaryota; Metazoa; Chordata; Mammalia; Rodentia; Sciuridae. The record is from RNAcentral.